CAGCCGCCACGGGAAAACAGAGGGUGCAAGCGUUAAUCGGAAUUACUGGGCGUAAAGCGCGCGUAGGUGGUUUGUUAAGUUGGAUGUGAAAGCCCCGGGCUCAACCUGGGAACUGCAUCCAAAACUGGCAAGCUAGAGUACGGUAGAGGGUGGUGGAAUUUCCUGUGUAGCGGUGAAAUGCGUAGAUAUAGGAAGGAACACCAGUGGCGAAGGCGACCACCUGGACUGAUACUGACACUGAGGUGCGAAAGCGUGGGGAGCAAACAGGAUUAGAUACCCCGGUAGUCCCUGUCUCUUAUAC
RNAcentral lists this ribosomal RNA (301 nucleotides) under uncultured bacterium. Its description in RNAcentral is "partial 16S ribosomal RNA". It matches the Rfam family "Bacterial small subunit ribosomal RNA", at positions 509 to 807 of the family's 1533-position model. The record is from RNAcentral.